Molecule: long non-coding RNA, 2728 nt
Organism: Vitis vinifera (wine grape)
Lineage: Eukaryota; Viridiplantae; Streptophyta; Magnoliopsida; Vitales; Vitaceae
Exons: 2
Source: RefSeq, a predicted model, not a curated record
AAAUCAUACCAAGCAUUCAUCUGGGACUUUCCAUUACCUUAUAGCAGCAGAUAAGUUUGUGAGAUAGUCCCUGUGAAAGUUUAUCCUCUUGUCAUCCUGCAAAGCCUUCUCUAAAGUUAUAAUAACCGGUGGAUUGCCAUAAUUAUCUUUCACAUAUCGAGCUAACUUUCGGAUGCCCCAUGGCACAAUGUGUAGCCAGCGAGAAGCUGCCUGGAGGAGGAAGAAAUCAUGAGCAUGCUUUAAUUUGGUAUGUUUAAGUAAAUGAUAGGCCUAAGAAGUUGUGACUUACUCGUUCUCCAAUAGCUUCUCCACCUCGAAAAGCUACAUUCAAGAACAUUUCAUCAUGAUUAUCCGUUCAUAUCUUAGUUGACUUUUAUUUAAUUUUAUUUUUAGAUGCAGUAAAUAGCGACUAGGCAUCUUACAGGUAGUAAUAACCGCUGCAUCAGAUGAAGCAUCCCGCAAUAUGAAUUUCCUAAUUCGUGUCCUGUCAUUCCGGGCAUAUAAUGUGGUAUAAUGAUUUAUGCCAACAAAAUCCAAGGACCCCAACAGAAACUUGGCUGUUUUUGGUGAGAUCUCUGGUAGUCUCUUUCCCACAAGCCUCUGCAUUGACAGUGGAUAUUCACCGAAGAAAAGUGGAUCAAGGAACCUGAGUCAAUUUUUGGUGUCAUGCACUUCAUAUAUUGGAAUUGAUUUCUUGCUAAUGUCCGUAACUCAAGCUUUAUAUAUCCCACAAGAGAAAUUACCAUCUGAUUCCAAAGUCCAUUGCCCUACGUGCAGCAUCUUUGUCCUCAUCACUAUCAGAUAUCGGUUCAUACCAUUUGGCAUCCAGUGCCAUUCCAAUUAGACCCCCUUGACUUUCCUGAAAGACCCUCAUAAAUGGAAAAUAAAAUUCUUGUCAUUUUCUUUUAAUUGAUAGGAGAACCAGAAUAUCUUAUAAGACAAUCAUAUUCAUGAAGAGGAAUACCUUGAAAUGGAGCUGGUAAUUAUGAUAAGCUGCAGCAUGAGACAAGAGGAUGUUGUGAGCUACAAUGUAUGGUUCAGUGGAGGAUUCUCCUGUCUUGCAGAACAAAUGCCCAAGAAUGGAGCACCUCCCAGGAGCUUGAAGACCUGUGUCAUAACCUUGGAGUGCGAAACCGUGGGGUUCAUUAAAGGUGAUCCAGUUCUUGACUCUAUCUCCAAAAGCUUGGAAGCAGGUAGAGGCAUAAUACUCGAAGUCUUUUCUGUGAGUGAAUGGAGGCUAUUGGUUAAGUCUGUUUCAUGUCAUGAAAAUACCAUAGAUAAUUGUGAUGUACUUACACUAUCUGUUUGCUUAACCAUCCUUCAUAUCUAUCUUCAAGCAUCUGUGGAAGAUCCCAAUGAUAGAGAGUUACAUAGGGUUGAAUUCCUGAUAGAAAACAAGAGCUAAACCUUCAAUAAUCUAAUAUUCUAUGAGAAUUAGAUUCAAUGAGUCAUGUUAUUGAGAAACCUUUUUCAAGUAAAGCAUCUAUAAGACUGUUGUAGUAUUCUAUUCCUUCCAGAUUCGGUUCUCCUGUACCUUCUGUUAAAAGGAAUAUUCUAAGACAGUUAUUAAAAGUUAAACAAAUGAUAAGCAAAAACUAGAGGAAAACAAAAAUAAGGAUGGAUUCUUUUCUUACUAGGAAAAAUUCUUGACCAUGAUAUUGAGAAUCUGUAAGCAUCCAUUCCCAAAUCCUUCAUCAAGUCUAUAUCAGUCUGUAAAUUUUGAAAUUUAACUUCUCAGUCUUGAGAGAAAAAGUGCAGUCGUUGGUUGACUAAAUAAAAAAAUGCUUCUAAUUGCCUUACUUGGAUGUUAUGCUUAUCUUAUCGAGGUUAGUGGCACAUCAUCAUCAUCAUCAUCUUGUUUCUUAUUUGUUUAUUGAUUUGUUUAUUUAUUUUCCUUUUUCUAUUGCUUAAGCUUAAGGUACAAGUUUCUUGUGAAGUUUGCAAGGGAUACACUUGACAUAAAAAAUGGGGAAAAAAAAACAUCAAAACUGGAAUGGCUUUAAAAAUUGAAAGAAAUGAAAGUUUUCUUUUCUUCUUCUAUUUUCAUUUUUAAUUUUUGGUGCAAGAAGAUUGAAACAAUCAACUUAUGCCUUUGUACUCUAAACCGAUUAAGCACAUCUAUAGUCAACCCAAUGUAUCUUCACAAUUCACCUUAAACCGGUGAUAUUGGUCGACUGCCAUAUCUGCAUUGCUGAAAUCCAGGAUCCUCCCUGGUAGAACAGACAAACAAGAUCAACAUAUCAAACCCGUCUCUAAAUAUUAUUGUCUUGGGUCAUAAGCUGUGUUAAUAGAAUCAAAUUGCAAUUGAAUAAUUUUGAACUCUUACCUGGUUGCCUUGUGAAAGUAUCCCAUAUGCUAACUCCCUUGUUUCCUUCAUCCACAGCUCCUUCAAACUACAACAUAUGAUUUCAUGUGCUAUUCUAUUGAAUCUAUCAUGAAGAAAUUGAAAGUUCAGAAAAAUGAAAAGCAUUACCUGGUAAGCUGAAGAAGCAGUUCCAAAGAUGAACCCAUCUGGGAAAUCAACUCUGCUGAUGGAUUCGGAGUUCAUGAAGAGACAGCUCAUCAAAAUCAGGACCAGCAAGACUGCCAUGGUGAGGUUUCUAGACCAUGAACAAUGGGUUUGUUUUAGAUUGCUGUGCGGGAGAUUUUAAACUAAACUGAAUUUGUGUUAUUAUCUUAAAUGUGAAGUUGAAGAAAAUAUGGUUGAAGAAGAAAUUUUAAACAGCAA